CUGGGGGAUCCCCCAGCCUUCUCCAGCAGCUCCUUCUCUUCCCCCUCCUUGAGCUGCCAGGGCUUCCCUGCGGCUCCAGCGCUCCCCGGGCACUGCGGGGCUGGGGCAGAAGUGAACUCCAGCCAAAGGCUCUGAGAAUUCCCAAAGGCAGCCGAGCACAGAGGGCCCUGGGAGCGCCUGCACUGCCCUGCUGGGAUGGAGCUGGGGAUUAUCCGAGGAUUGAGGCUCCUCAGGCGCUCUGGGCAGCAGCUGCCGGCUCCAGGGGCUGCAGGAACAUCCCUGGCAGGGUCAGGAGCUGAGCCCAGCCCUGCAGGGAGAGCUCCAGGCUCUCCCAGGACACGGAGCUGCAGAUCCCACGGCUCACUGGCAUCAGCAGAACGCCAGAAGAGCUCCUCACCCCUCCUGGAAUCAGCCUGGCUGCUCCUGAGAGAUGCUCAGAUGCAUCAGGAGGGAGCAGCAGAAGUGACUCCAAAACCACGGCCUGGGAACAAGCUGAAAUGUCUCCUGGAGGAAUGAAGACCAAUAUUCCCAGAGGAGGAGGAGGAGGAGCUGGAAGCCCCUUCUGUGCAAGAAGGAAAUGCAUCAUUUGUGAGCUUCACACCAAACUGGGAUUGCAAAGCUGCAGGUGGAUAUUUGGUUUACCACAAAAUCCACCCUGGCAACUGAAGGCAAUGCAUCCUGGCAGGUCUGAGCUGCUUUCUGAAAGGCCUGUUUUUCACAGUCACUUCUUCCCUGAGGUCAAAUGUGUGCUGAGCAGAGGAGAGCAGCACAGAGAAUGAUGG
Molecule: long non-coding RNA, 782 nt
Organism: Parus major (Great Tit)
Lineage: Eukaryota; Metazoa; Chordata; Aves; Passeriformes; Paridae
Exons: 4
Source: RefSeq, a predicted model, not a curated record